RNAcentral lists this ribosomal RNA (1238 nucleotides) under Bacillus licheniformis. RNAcentral describes it as "bacterial SSU rRNA". It matches the Rfam family "Bacterial small subunit ribosomal RNA", at positions 1 to 1229 of the family's 1533-position model. The record is from RNAcentral. Lineage: Bacteria; Bacillati; Bacillota; Bacilli; Caryophanales; Bacillaceae.
UCCAGAAGUUUGAUCAUGGCUCAGGACGAACGCUGGCGGCGUGCCUAAUACAUGCAAGUCGAGCGGACCGACGGGAGCUUGCUCCCUUAGGUCAGCGGCGGACGGGUGAGUAACACGUGGGUAACCUGCCUGUAAGACUGGGAUAACUCCGGGAAACCGGGGCUAAUACCGGAUGCUUGAUUGAACCGCAUGGUUCAAUCAUAAAAGGUGGCUUUCAGCUACCACUUGCAGAUGGACCCGCGGCGCAUUAGCUAGUUGGUUCUAACGGCUCACCAAGGCGACGAUGCGUAGCCGACCUGAGAGGGUGAUCGCCACACUGACUAGAACGGCUUAGACUCCUACGGGAGGCAGCAGUAGGGAAUCUUCCGCAAUGGACGAAAGUCUGACGGAGCAACGCCGCGUGAGUGAUGAAGGUUUUCGGAUCGUAAAACUCUGUUGUUAGGGAAGAACAAGUACCGUUCGAAUAGGGCGGUACCUUGACGGUACCUAACCAGAAAGCCACGGCUAACUACGUGCCAGCAGCCGCGGUAAUACGUAGGUGGCACAGACGUUGUCCGGAAUUAUUGGGCGUAAAGCGCGCGCAGGCGGUUUCUUAAGUCUGAUGUGAAAGCCCCCGGCUCAACCGGGGAGGGUCAUUGGAAACUGGGGAACUUGAGUGCAGAAGAGGAGAGUGGAAUUCCACGUGUAGCGGUGAAAUGCGUAGAGAUGUGGAGGAACACCAGUGGCGAAGGCGACUCUCUGGUCUGUAACUGACGCUGAGGCGCGAAAGCGUGGGGAGCGAACAGGAUUAGAUACCCUGGUAGUCCACGCCGUAAACGAUGAGUGCUAAGUGUUAGAGGGUUUCCGCCCUUUAGUGCUGCAGCAAACGCAUUAAGCACUCCGCCUGGAGAUUCACGUCGCAAGACUGAAACUCAAAGGAAUUGACGGGGGCCCGCACAAGCGGUGGAGCAUGUGGUUUAAUUCGAAGCAACGCGAAGAACCUUACCAGGUCUUGACAUCCUCUGACAACCCUAGAGAUAGGGCUUCCCCUUCGGGGGCAGAGUGACAGGUGGUGCAUGGUUGUCGUCAGCUCGUGUCGUGAGAUGUUGGGUUAAGUCCCGCAACGAGCGCAACCCUUGAUCUUAGUUGCCAGCAUUCAGUUGGGCACUCUAAGGUGACUGCCGGUGACAAACCGGAGGAAGGUGGGGAUGACGUCAAAUCAUCAUGCCCCUUAUGACCUGGGCUACACACGUGCUACA